AUUGAACGCUGGCGGAAUGCUUUACACAUGCAAGUCGAACGGUAGAGGGGGCAACCCCUCGAGAGUGGCGAACGGGUGAGUAAUAUAUCGGAACGUGCCCAGUCGUGGGGGAUAACGUAGCGAAAGUUACGCUAAUACCGCAUACGAUCUCAGGAUGAAAGCGGGGGAUCGCAAGACCGCGCGCGAUUGGAGCGGCCGAUAUCAGAUUAGGUAGUUGGUGGGGUAAAGGCUCACCAAGCCAACGAUCUGUAGCUGGUCUGAGAGGACGACCAGCCACACUGGAACUGAGACACGGUCCAGACUCCUACGGGAGGCAGCAGUGGGGAAUUUUGGACAAUGGGCGAAAGCCUGAUCCAGCCAUUCCGCGUGCAGGAUGAAGGCCCUCGGGUUGUAAACUGCUUUUGUACAGAACGAAAAGGUUUCUACUAAUACUAGGAGCUCAUGACGGUACUGUAAGAAUAAGCACCGGCUAACUACGUGCAGCCGCCGCGGUAA
This 495-nucleotide ribosomal RNA is filed under the name uncultured bacterium. RNAcentral's name for it is "partial 16S ribosomal RNA". It matches the Rfam family "Bacterial small subunit ribosomal RNA", at positions 30 to 523 of the family's 1533-position model. The record is from RNAcentral.